Molecule: long non-coding RNA, 1220 nt
Filed under: Homo sapiens (human)
Lineage: Eukaryota; Metazoa; Chordata; Mammalia; Primates; Hominidae
Description: HSALNT0167214
Source: RNAcentral
CGGAUGCUCCCUUCUUUUCUGGUCCAGCUACCUCCCACCUCGCCUUCCUUGACCUCAGGUGGGGUUUCCCUUCUGCAGAGCAGGGAUGGAGGCCGGGGUCCUCCCAGCAGAGAAGCCCUGUGUUCCUCCUCUCUUGCCUGAGCAGCCCCACCCCCAAGGCUGGCAGAGGCUGGCCCUGAAGCUCCUGAUCGUCUCCCUCCGGUCUGACUGCCUUACCUUUUUAGCCUAAAUCCCAGCCCCUCCUUUUAGGAACUGUCAUCAUGUUUAAUCCUGCCUGGGGGAGACCCCCUCCACCUUCCUAAAUGGAAGGUAUUCCAUUACAUGCUAAAGUGCAGUUUAAGUAGCUGUAAGGAAGUGUGACAGAAAGUCUGUCAGAGUGGGGCUGGACUUGCCAAAACUUGGUGUGAUGUGGGGACUCUGUCAACGUGCUCCUAGGGAAACCUGAGCUGAGCUGAGGCUGGGGCUGGCAGGAUGUUCAAGGUGAGCCCAGGACCUGCCACACUGUGCCAGCCUCGCCCAAGCCACCCCCCAGCCAGGACGCGGUCUUUCCUGACUCAGCAGGCUGAGGCACCUGAGGCUUUCAUUUUAAUUAUGAACCACUUCAAAGCCUUUCUGGAAGCAGUCUCUGCAAUAACCAACCUGGGUUCUCUCCUAAUGUGGGGAUUGUCCUGGAGCCCAGGCCUUCCAAGGCUCCUCCGCCCGCCAACAUCACCUACCUCAUCUUCCUCUUCAGCACAUCCCCAACAUUGUCUAAGCGGUAACUCACCUGAGCAAAGCACUUGACACGGAUUCAUUCAUUUACUCCUCACAACAACCUGAUGAGGUAGGUACUAUUAUGUCCAUUUUACAGGUGGCAAAAACAAGGCCUAGAGAGGUGAAGUAACUUAUCUGUCUAAGGUUACACAGGUUGGUAGUGGGCCCAAGGUUCAAAUUCCAGCAGUCAGGCUGGGCGCGGUGGCUCAUCCCUGUAAUCCUAGCACUUUGGGAAGCUGGGGCGGGUGGAUUGCCUGAGGCCAGGAUUUCAAGACCAGCCUGACCAAUAUGGCAAAACCCCAUCUCUACUAAAAAUGCAAAAAUUAGUCAGGCGCGGUGGCAGGUGCUGUGGUCCCAGCUACUUGGGAGGCUGAGACAGAAGAACUGCUUGAACCCAGGAGGCAGAGGUUGCAGUGAGCUGAGAUUGUGCCACUGCACUCUACCCUGGACGACAGAGCAAGACUCCA